RNAcentral lists this ribosomal RNA (171 nucleotides) under Solanum clavatum. RNAcentral describes it as "5.8S ribosomal RNA". It matches the Rfam family "5.8S ribosomal RNA". From Rfam's summary of the family: 5.8S ribosomal RNA (5.8S rRNA) is a component of the large subunit of the eukaryotic ribosome. It is transcribed by RNA polymerase I as part of the 45S precursor that also contains 18S and 28S rRNA. Functionally, it is thought that 5.8S rRNA may be involved in ribosome translocation. Lineage: Eukaryota; Viridiplantae; Streptophyta; Magnoliopsida; Solanales; Solanaceae. The record is from RNAcentral.
AACCAAAACGACUCUCCGGAACGGAUAUCUCGGCUCUCGCAUCGAUGAAGAACGUAGCGAAAUGCGAUACUUGGUGUGAAUUGCAGAAUCCCGUGAACCAUCGAGUCUUUGAACGCAAGUUGCGCCCGAAGCCAUUAGGCCGAGGGCACGUCUGCCUGGGCGUCACGCAUC